CAGGACGAACGCUGGCGGCGUGCCUAAUACAUGCAAGUCGAACGGCUUUUCUAUGGAAGCUUGCUUCCACUGGGAAGAUAGUGGCGGACGGGUGAGUAACACGUGGGUAACCUGCCCAUAAGAGGGGGGAGUAACAUCCGGAAACGGGUGCUAAUACCGCAUAGUUUUCUUGAUCGCAUGGUCGAGAAAGGAAAGACGGCCUUUGUGCUGUCGCUUAUGGAUGGACCCGCGGCGUAUUAGUUAGUUGGUGAGGUAACGGCUCACCAAGACGAUGAUACGUAGCCGACCUGAGAGGGUGAUCGGCCACAUUGGGACUGAGACACGGCCCAAACUCCUACGGGAGGCAGCAGUAGGGAAUCUUCCGCAAUGGACGAAAGUCUGACGGAGCAACGCCGCGUGAGUGAAGAAAAGGUUUUCGGAUCGUAAAACUCUGUUGUCAGAGAAGAACAAGUCGGAGAGUAACUGCUCCGGCCUUGACGGUAUCUGACCAGAAAGCCACGGCUAACUACGUGCCAGCCGCAGC
Molecule: ribosomal RNA, 523 nt
Filed under: uncultured bacterium
Lineage: Bacteria
Description: bacterial SSU rRNA
Rfam family: Bacterial small subunit ribosomal RNA
Source: RNAcentral